CCGUCGAUAGCUCAGUUGGUAGAGCGGUGGACUGUAGAGUCAUAGGUCGCUGGUUCGAAUCCGGCUCGACGGA
Molecule: transfer RNA, 73 nt
Filed under: Dermacentor andersoni
Lineage: Eukaryota; Metazoa; Arthropoda; Arachnida; Ixodida; Ixodidae
Description: transfer RNA tyrosine (anticodon GUA)
Rfam family: tRNA
About the family: Transfer RNA (tRNA) molecules are approximately 80 nucleotides in length.
Source: RNAcentral